Molecule: non-coding RNA, 411 nt
Organism: Diceros bicornis minor
Lineage: Eukaryota; Metazoa; Chordata; Mammalia; Perissodactyla; Rhinocerotidae
Source: the annotation of a RefSeq genome assembly
AUGCUGCUCCCCCGCCUGCUGAGAGUAGUCACAGCCUCCAUCUGCCUUGGAUCCAGCAUGGCCCAGAAGGUAACUCAAGCCCAGCCUGCAGUUUCUGUGCUGGAGAAGGAGGCUGCAACCUUGGAUUGUGUAUAUGAAGCUAAUAGUUAUAGUUAUAGUUAUUAUUUAUUCUGGUAUAAACAAACACCAAGUGGGGAAAUGAUUUUCCUUAUUCAUCAGGAUUCUUACAAUGAGCAAAAUACAACAAAGGAUCGGUACUUUUUGAACUUCCAGAAACCAGCCAGUUCCAUCAGCCUCAGCAUCACAGCCUCACAGCUCGGGGACUCAGCAGUGUAUUUCUGUGCUCUGAGAGAGGCCACAGUGUUGUGGGUGCCUGUGGGAGCCCCACAAAAACCUCAGAUCUCAACAUGA